UGAGCUUGAUCCUGGCUCAGGAUGAACGCUAGCGGCAGGCUUAACACCAUGCAAGUCGAGGGGUAUUAGUUUUCGGACUAAGAGACCGGCGCACGGGUGCGUAACGCGUAUGCAAUCUACCUUUUACAGAGGGAUAGCCCAGAGAAAUUUGGAUUAAUACCUCAUAGUAUAAUGACUCGGCAUCGAGAUAUUAUUAAAGUCACAACGGUAAAAGAUGAGCAUGCGUCCCAUUAGCUAGUUGGUAAGGUAACGGCUUACCAAGGCUACGAUGGGUAGGGGUCCUGAGAGGGAGAUCCCCCACACUGGUACUGAGACACGGACCAGACUCCUACGGGAGGCAGCAGUGAGGAAUAUUGGACAAUGGGCGCAAGCCUGAUCCAGCCAUGCCGCGUGCAGGAUGACGGUCCUAUGGAUUGUAAACUGCUUUUAUACGAGAAGAAACACUGCUUCGUGAAGCAGCUGACGGUAUCGUAG
This 474-nucleotide ribosomal RNA is filed under the name Flavobacterium sp. 01WB04.1-75. Its description in RNAcentral is "bacterial SSU rRNA". It matches the Rfam family "Bacterial small subunit ribosomal RNA", at positions 1 to 483 of the family's 1533-position model. Lineage: Bacteria; Pseudomonadati; Bacteroidota; Flavobacteriia; Flavobacteriales; Flavobacteriaceae. The record is from RNAcentral.